This 255-nucleotide ribosomal RNA is filed under the name uncultured bacterium. Its description in RNAcentral is "partial 16S ribosomal RNA". It matches the Rfam family "Bacterial small subunit ribosomal RNA", at positions 524 to 776 of the family's 1533-position model. The record is from RNAcentral.
UACGUAGGGUGCGAGCGUUGUCCGGAAUUAUUGGGCGUAAAGGGCUCGUAGGCGGUUUGUCGCGUCGGGAGUGAAAUCCACUGGCUUAACUGGUGGCUUGCUUUCGAUACGGGCAGACUGGAGGUAUGCAGGGGAGAACGGAAUUCCUGGUGUAGCGGUGAAAUGCGGCAGAUAUCAGGAGGAACACCGGUGGCGAAGGCGGUUCUCCUGGGCAUGUCCUGACGCUGAGGAGCGAAAGUGUGGGGAGCGAACAGG